UACGUAGGGUGCAGGCGUUAAUCGGAAUUACUGGGCGUAAAGCGUGCGCAGGCGGUUUCUUAAGUCAGAUGUGAAAGCCCCGGGCUUAACCUGGGAACUGCGUUUGAAACUGGGAGACUUGAGUGUGGCAGAGGGGGGUGGAAUUCCACGUGUAGCAGUGAAAUGCGUAGAUAUGUGGAGGAACACCGAUGGCGAGGGCAGCCCCCUGGGUUAACACUGACGCUCAUGCACGAAAGCGUGGGGAGCAAACAGG
Molecule: ribosomal RNA, 253 nt
Filed under: uncultured bacterium
Lineage: Bacteria
Description: partial 16S ribosomal RNA
Rfam family: Bacterial small subunit ribosomal RNA
Source: RNAcentral